Molecule: ribosomal RNA, 465 nt
Filed under: uncultured bacterium
Lineage: Bacteria
Description: partial 16S ribosomal RNA
Rfam family: Bacterial small subunit ribosomal RNA
Source: RNAcentral
GACGAACGCUGGCGGCGUGCUUAACACAUGCAAGUCGAACGGAAAGGCCCCGUUGGGGGUACUCGUGUGGCGAACGGGGGAGUAACACGUGAGUAACCUUCCCUUGUCUUCGGGAUAACUUCCGGAAAAUGGGGCUAAUUCCGGAUAGGAAUCCUUGCGGCAUGGUGGGGGUUGGAAAGCUUCGGCGGUUUUGGAUGGACUGGCGGCUGAUCAGCUUGUUGGUGGGGUAGUGGCUUACCAAGGCUUUGACGGGUAGCCGGCCAGAGAGGGCGAGCGGCCACAUUGGGACUGAGAUACGGCCCAGACGCCGACGGGUGGCAGCAGGGGGGAAUAUUGAACAAGGGGCGGAGGCUGGAUGCAGCAACGCCGCGGGCGGGAUAGCGGCCUUCGUGUUGUAGACCGCUUGCAGCAGGGGCGAAGCUUGUGGUGACGGUACCUGCAGAAUAAGCACCGGCUAACUACGUG